This 67-nucleotide transfer RNA is filed under the name Opecarcinus hypostegus. RNAcentral describes it as "tRNA-Gly". Lineage: Eukaryota; Metazoa; Arthropoda; Malacostraca; Decapoda; Cryptochiridae. The record is from RNAcentral.
UUUUUUUUUAGUAUAAUAAGUAUAUUUGGCUUCCAACCAAACGGUCUAAAUAAUUUAGAAAAAAAAA